This is an RNA transcript of Cuculus canorus (common cuckoo), 9630 nucleotides long. It is a transcript of the gene named AT-rich interactive domain-containing protein 1A-like, with no coding region annotated. The record is from RefSeq and is a predicted model, not a curated record. The transcript is spliced from 6 exons. Lineage: Eukaryota; Metazoa; Chordata; Aves; Cuculiformes; Cuculidae.
UUCCCAGGCGAUGAUGGGGAUGGGAGCCCAUGGCUCAGGGUCAUUGUCAGCAAUGCUGCAUUCAGGGUUUCGAAGGAGCAGAAGUGCUGACCAAAGGGAUUUGGUCAUGGCUGUCAAACGCCAUCCUAGUCCAGUCACUUGGAGCUCUUUCUGUGUUUGCUCUGUGUCUGGCUGCAACGAGAGUUCCAAUCUUCUUUUGGCGACGGUUGGAUGCUGACAAGAUGAACGUCAGCGUCACGUUACUCGUGACAUGACCAUUGCACAACGAGGGGGCUGGAAACCAGGGGGCUUUGGGGUUCUCCAACAGUUUUCACGCUUUGGAAAAAUUUGUGUCACAGCCAUGAGUAUCUCUCCCGAUGCAAACGCUAGCCUAGUCAAUCUCUGUGAUUGUCCUUCUGGAAAGGAUGGCACUGACUCCUCUCCUUUGCGUUCUGCAGCUGUACUUCUUCUACAGCCCCUUCUUUGAGAGAGAGUGCCCGCUACUCCUGAGGAUGUGCAGGCAAAGCCCUGGGGAAAGAGAGCGAGCGCCGGCUGCAGCCCCACGGAGCCCAAAGCAGGGGGGCAAACGCAAAAGAAAGCAACGCGUUUAUCCUCCAGAAGUGGAAGAAGGUGUGGAGGAGGAAGAGAACAACCUCCAGUGCCAUGCAGACACCAGCCGCACAGCGACCCAGCCGUGGACUGAUCCAGACGCUCCAAGCACCAGUGCUGGUCCAACCCCAGCCAAACGGUGCCGCAUCCACAGACCCGAUGGCAUCCAGGAGGCAGCUCGGGCUCCAUCCAUGGCUUCACCCCAGCGCUGCACACCUCCCACCUCGCCUGAUAUGGAGACCCCUCCAGGCCCAUCUUGGUGGCCCUCGUCUGCUUCCAGGCUGCAUGGCAGGAAGCGCCCCCUGCAACUCCGGGCAGAAAAGUGUGUGAGGGAUGGAAUGUCAGCACCUCGUGCUGCUCCCGUGCCACGGCCAGCGCACGGCCAAAUGGCAGCAGGACCGGAGGAGGAGGAGAACGACCUCCAAAACAGUGCAGCCGCCAGCCCCACAACAAACGAGCCGUGGGCUGACCCAGACGCCCCGAGCACCAGUGCUGGUCCACCCCCAGCCAAACGGUGCCGCACACAUAGCCCCGAUGGCGUCCAGGACGCAGAUCUGGUUCCAUCAUCACCUCCACCCCAGCGCCGCUCACCUCCUUCCCCACCAUUCUUCAUGCCUCCUCCAUACCUAGAUUGGUGGCUCAAUUUCCAUGCUGUGCAGGCACCCUGGAAUGGCCUGCUUCCAUUCCGCCCUCCAGAGCCUGAGCCAGAGGAACCACCGGUACUUUCUGCCUCUCCCCCGCCAAGGCCACCGCAAAGCCCAGCUGGAAGGUUCCGGCACUGCCCAACGUGCUACUGCCCACCAAACCCCUGGGCUGCUGGCCAAGGGGAUGGACCUUAGUGGGGGCGGAUGAGCAAUAGCAGUGGUCUAGGAGACCGAAUGGUGUUGUAGACGUAGAAACAUGUUCGUCUAGGAAGAAGGAAUAAAACAGUGUUUGUUGUUGUCAAAAAUGCCUCUUUUUGAGUUGCCUUGUCCUGUCUCUGCUGCCUCUAGUUGCUCUCCUGACAUCCAGCAUGGCCUUCAGGAGUAUGAAAGCUUUGGCCCCAGCCUGCAAAAGCCAAGGGCCCCACGUGCGCUCAGCACAACUCAGCAAAACACCAACCUGGGGCUGCUCCAGCAGCUGCACCAGCACCCAGGGCCACUCCGGACAAACCAGUGCCCCAGAGCUCUUGGGGAGCCCACGGCCCUUCCUCCCCCGGCUCAGAGCGGGGCCGACGGGCAGCAGGGCCGCAGGGAGCACACUUGGCCUCCUCCUGCCCGUCCUACAUCCCCUCCAGGGAUGGCUGCAGCCUCGCAGCUGGCAAAGCCACAACACCCAGGCUCCUCAGGCGCUCCUCACAGGACAUGACUUCCCGUCCUCUCAGCACCUUGCUUGCCCUCCUCUGGACAACUUCCGAUCCCUUUCAAACACCACGGCCCGAACUGCACACAGCGCUCAAGCUGAGGCUGCGGCAACGCCAAACACAGCAUUCACCGCUCUUGACCGCUCGGGCUGUGUUGGAUGCGCCCCACGAUGCCGUUUGCCCUCUCAGCUGCCCGGGCAUUCGGCUGGCUCCCACCCGGCUGCCGCCCACCAGCAGCCACAUCCUUCAUCCUUCUCGGCAGGCCUCCUUUCCAGCCAGUCCUCUCCCACUUUAUCCUUGUGACUGGCGUGAAACCCUCCCACGUGCAGAAGCCAGCAUUUGCUCCUCUUCCAUUUCACGCAAGUGAUGGUGGAAAUCCCAGAGUGGGGGUAACUCCAUGGGAGAAGGCACAGGUCUUUCUGCAUGGGGAGAAGGUGCCCAAGGGAAGAGCUUCAGCUCUGGGGCUCUCUGAUGCCCAGUGCUGCAGCCUUCCCCAUCCCUCCCCGGGGACCAAUUCUCAUGGAGAAUGGGACGCCCGUUCCAGCUGCAAAUGCAGUUGGAUUCCUUCUGGGAUUUUCACUCCUCUGGUGCGUGUGGAUGACGCUGGUUGUGGCUCUGGCUUUCCUGGUGGAGCCGCUGGGGAAGGAGGGGUAAAGGCAGGCAUCCCCAUCACAGCACUUCAUCCCCUUUGCAGCCUCCAAGCCCAAAGGCAGGUCGAGCGCAGAGACCCGAGAGGCCACAGAUUUGGGUGGGAAUAAAUAACCUGGGGUUUCUCUGCCGCUUGCAAGGGAUCUGGAAAUGCUGGGCGGAAUACCCCCGAGUAGGACCUGGACCCUCGAUGCAGGGCUCUGCCGGCCACGGAGAUGAGGGACGUCAACAUCAGCUUCCCCGACCCCGUUGACUAUGGUAACUGAGACCUAAAUUUACCUUGUUGUGGACUAUCUGGACACUGAACUACCAGCUACUAUGGGGAAAAGCUGCUUACACUGAUAAUCCAUCUUUCUUACUGAUCUUUCCCUGCUUCUUUCUACAGCGGUGAAGAGCUUGGAUUGCCGCUUGCAAAGUCACCCUCACCUUCCAGACACCCCAUUGACGUGUUUCACGUUGCAACGUGCUUCUCCGAGUUGCUCAGCUAUUUGUCCAUGUGGCAAUUUUCUCUUCUUCCACCCCUUCCUCCGGGUUUGAACUGAGCUUAAUCCUCCCCGGUGAUCCGGGGGGAAACUCCCCACCCCGUGCAGCAGCACCUGGCCCCAAUCCAGGCCACGCGGAGCUCUCUGCCACCAAUCAGCCUCUCUUUUGAGAUGAUGCCGCGUGGAGCUGCCAAUGCAGCCUCACAGGAGCCUGUGCAGACAGCGGGUUGUGCUAUGCUCGCUGCCGGGCUCGUUCUUCGUGCCUGCACACCUCACACAGAUUCCCCUAACCCUCAGCCUUUCAUUUACUUAGGAUCUAACUUGGUUACGGAGGCUACUGAGAAAGAAGACGGCGACCUCCACAUGGAGGCAGGCAGAAGGGACGUCUGGCGUCUUGCUCAAGAGUGGACGGGUUCUUGUUCUUCCAAGCCGGGAUGGCACUGACUCCUCUCCUUUGCGUUCUGCAGCUGUACUUCUUCUACAGCCCCUUCUUUGAGAGAGAGUGCCCGCUACUCCUGAGGAUGUGCAGGCAAAGCCAUGGGCAAAGAGAGUGAAGCCCGGCUGCAGCCCCACGGAGCCCAAAGCAGGGGGGCAAACGCAAAAGAAAGCAACGGGUUUAUCCUCCAGAAGUGGAAGAAGGUGUGGAGGAGGAAGAGAACAACCUCCAGUGCCACGCAGAGCCCAGCCGCACAGCGACCCGGCCGUGGACUGAUCCAGACGCUCCAAGCACCAGUGCUGGUCCAACCCCAGCCAAACGGUGCCGCAUCAACAGCCCCGAUGGCAUCCAGGAGGCAGCUCGGGUUCCAUCCGACGCUUCACCCCAGCGCUGCACACCUCCCACCUCGCCUGAUAUAGAGACCCUUCCAGGCCCAUCUUGGUGGCCCUCGUCUGCUUCCAGGCUGCAUGGCAGGAAGCACCCCCUGCAACUCCGGGCAGAAGAGUGUGCGAGGGAUGGACUGUCAGCACCUCGUGCUGCUCCCGUGCCACGGCCAGCGCACGGCCAAAUGGCAGCAGGACCGGAGGAGAACAACCUCCAGAACCGCGCAGCCGCCAGCCCCACAACAAACGAGCCGUGGGCUGACCCAGACGCCCCGAGCACCAGUGCUGGUCCACCCCCAGCCAAACGGUGCUGCACACACAGCCCCGAUGGCGUCCAGGACGCGGAUCCGGUUCCAUCAUCACCUCCACCCCAGCGCCGCUCACCUCCUUCCCCACCAUUCUUCAUGCCUCCUCCAUACCUAGAUUGGUUGCUCAGUCUCCAUGCUGUGCAGGCACCCUGGAAUGGCCUGCUUCCAUUCCGCCCUCCAGAGCCUGAGCCAGAGGAACCACCGGCACCUUCUGCCUCUCCCCCGCCAAGGCCACCGCAACGCUCAGCUGGAAGGUUCCGGCACUGCCCAACGUGCUACUGCCGACCAAACCCCUGGGCUGCCGGACAAGGGGAUGGACCUUAGUGGGGGCGGAUGAGCAAUAGCAGUGGUCUAGGAGACCGAAUGGUAUUGUAGAUGUAGAAACAUGUUUGUCUAGGAAACUCCCCACCCCGUGCAGCAGCACCUGGCCCCAAUCCAGGCCACGCGGAGCUCUCUGCCACCAAUCAGCCUCUCUUUUGAGAUGAUGCCGCGUGGAGCUGCCAAUGCAGCCUCACAGGAGCCUGUGCAGACAGCGGGUUGUGCUAUGCUCGCUGCCGGGCUCGUUCUUCGUGCCUGCACACCUCACACAAAUUCCCCUAACCCUCAGCCUUUCAUUUACUUAGGAUCUAACUUGGUUACGGAGGCUACUGAGAAAGAAGACGGCGACCUCCACAUGGAGGCAGGCAGAAGGGACGUCUGGCGUCUUGCUCAAGAGUGGACGGGUUCUUGUUCUUCCAAGCCGGGCUGGCGUGAGAAGGCGGAUCAGUGUUUAAUCAGGAUGUAGGAUGGCCAGUUGUGGUCUGGGAUCCUGAACAAUAGCCCUGUGCUCUUGUCACACGCAUCCCCUGUGCUGCCGCAGCCUGGGAAUAUGCAGCCACUCCUCGCGCCGUGGCUGCUGAAGUGACGGGUGACCCUCGCUCUUGAGCAGCUCAUUUUAUGACUCUAUAAGAAAUGCACUGUUCCUUGUGAUAUGGGAGAUCACAGUCCCGUGUCUUUUUCCUUUGGCCUGAUCUGUUUCUCUGUGUGUUGCAGGACCUGUCUGGCUCAAUAGAUGAUGUCCACACGGGGGCGGAAGAAGCCCUGAGUCCUGGAGUAAGCACGUCAGGGAUAUCCGGCAGUCAAGGAGAGCAGAGUAACCCAGCUCAGUCUCCUUUCUCUCCGUGUACGUCUCCUCACCUGCCAGGCAUCAGAGGACCCUCCCCAUCCCCAGUCGGGUCUCCUGCCAGCGCUGCUCAGUCCCAUUCGGAUCUGCUUUCACCUGCUGCAGUACCAGGUAAUGCUGCUUGGCGCGUGUUGAUCUUCUGGCGGGGCUGCUUCGUGUAGCUGGAGAGUGAAUUCCAAUGGCCAGUGGGGAGGAAUUGGCCCCUGUCAGCGCUGUGUGGCUCUUGAGGUCCUGUGAUCUCCUUUGUUGGCUUUAAAAUGCCUUUAACUGUUAAAGGAUGCAGUAGGAUGGGUGAGAAGGCUGGUAAAGCCACACUGUCAUCUCGCUGGGUGAGCGUGACUGAUGUUGCUCUGGUUUUCCUUCGCUGUGGCUAACAUAGCCUGCUCCCCAAGUUGUUUGUAGUUCUGGUAUUUAAUACUCUUGCCUCGUGGGCUUUGUGGUGUGGAAUUUUUGUGAUUAACCCCUCUCGUGUUUGAGCUGUAGGCAAUCAGAUGCCACCCCGACCACCCAGCAGCCAGUUGGACAGCAUCCUGCAUCCUUCCGUUCACCCGCCAAGCAAAGCGCAAGAUCACUAAAUUUUUUUAAUUUUAAAUUUUUACAUUAAUUUAGAAUUUAAUUUUAGAUAUCUUUGUAUCUCCUCAGGAGGCUCUCCUGGGCAGCCAAACUGCAACGCAUUGUCCAACGCCAACUGUGCCAGUCCGGGAACGAGAGGAAGCCUGAACCCAACGAGAGCAGAGGAAGCGGCCACCGAUGCCAUGCACACAGCUGCAACUAAAGUGGACAAUGAGGCAGACGGGACACCAAGAGCAAAAUCCAAGUCAAAGGUAAAAUGUUUUGGUUUCUAAGUUUGCAUCCCCUUUUCUGUUGAGAAGGAGACUCGAGCUGUAGGGUAGCCGAGCUGUUGGAGAGCACCCGCUCUUUGGCCUUUUGCUGGAAAAGGGAGCUGGGGAAAGUCAGUUUUCCACUUUCUUUUCCUUUCUUUAAGCAAACCUGCUUCUUUGGAGGAGAAGAUCUUAAUGCUCAGCAUUUGGGUAAACAUCUUUCUUCCUUGCUUUCUCUAGGCCUCCUGGUUAUCCCAAAACGAACCAAGGAGGAAUGACGGGCGUUGGAGCUCCUUCUGGCCAGGGAAUUAACAGUCCUGCUGGCAUGAUGAACCCCCAGGGCCUGCCCUGUGCGAUGGGUGGGAACGUGUCUAACAACUCUGCAGGUAAGCCGGGGCCGACUCUCAGGCAUUGCAUUGAUUUCAAUGUCCCGGACUGAGAAUGAGUGUUAAAGAUUCUUUUAACUUCCUAGGGAUGGCGGCAAGCCCUGAAAUGAUAGGCCUUGGGGAGGUCGAAUUAACACCUGCAAUUAAAAUGGACAAUGAGGCAGAUGGGACACCAAGAGCAAAAUCCAAGUCAAAGGCCUCCUGGUUAUCCCAAAACGAACCAAGGAGGAAUGACGGGCGUUGGAGCUCCUUCUGGCCAGGGAAUUAACAGUCCUGCUGGCAUGAUGAACCCCCAGGGCCUGCCCUGUGCGAUGGGUGGGAACGUGGCUAACAACUCUGCAGGGAUGGCGGCAAGCCCUGAAAUGAUAGGCCUUGGGGAGGUCGAAUUAACACCUGCAAUUAAAAUGGACAAUGAGGCAGAUGGGACACCAAGAGCAAAAUCCAAGUCAAAGGUAAAAUGUUUUGGUUUCUAAGUUUGCAUCCCCUUUUCUGUUGAGAAGGAGACUCGAGCUGUAGGGUAGCCGAGCUGUUGGAGAGCACCCGCUCUUUGGCCUUUUGCUGGAAAAGGGAGCUGGGGAAAGUCAGUUUUCCACUUUCUUUUACAGCCAUGUGUAUCUCUCCCGAUGCAAACGCUAGCUUAGUAAAUCUCUGUGAUUGUCCUUCUGGAAAGGAUGGCACUGACUCCUCUCCUUUGCGUUCUGCAGCUGUACUUCUUCUACAGCCCCUUCUUUGAGAGAGAGUGCCCCCUACUCCUGAGGAUGUGCAGGCAAAGCCAUGGGCAAAGAGAGUGAAGCCCGGCUGCAGCCCCACGGAGCCCAAAGCAGGGGGGCAAACGCAAAAGAAAGCAACGGGUUUAUCCUCCAGAAGUGGAAGAAGGUGUGGAGGAGGAAGAGAACAACCUCCAGUGCCACGCAGAGCCCAGCCGCACAGCGACCCGGCCGUGGACUGAUCCAGACGCUCCAAGCACCAGCGCUGGUCCAACCCCAGCCAAACGGUGCCGCAUCAACAGCCCCGAUGGCAUCCAGGAGGCAGCUCGGGUUCCAUCCGACGCUUCACCCCAGCGCUGCACACCUCCCACCUCGCCUGAUAUGGAGACCCCUCCAGGCCCAUCUUGGUGGCCCUCGUCUGCUUCCAGGCUGCAUGGCAGGAAGCGCCCCCUGCAAAUCCGGGCAGAAGAGUGUGCGAGGGAUGGACUGUCAGCACCUCGUGCUGCUCCCGUGCCACGGCCAGCACACGGCCAAAUGGCAGCAGGACCGGAGGAGAACAACCUCCAGAACCGCGCAGCCGCCAGCCCCACAACAAACGAGCCGUGGGCUGACCCAGACGCCCCGAGCACCAGUGCUGGUCCACCCCCAGCCAAACGGUGCUGCACACACAGCCCCGAUGGCGUCCAGGACGCGGAUCCGGUUCCAUCAUCACCUCCACCCCAGCGCCGCUCACCUCCUUCCCCACCAUUCUUCGUGCCUCCUCCAUACCUAGAUUGGUUGCUCAGUCUCCAUGCUGUGCAGGCACCCUGGAAUGGCCUGCUUCCAUUCCACCCUCCAGAGCCUGAGCCAGAGGAACCACCGGCACCUUCUGCCUCUCCCCCGCCAAGGCCACCGCAACGCUCAGCUGGAAGGUUCCGGCACUGCCCAACGUGCUACUGCCGACCAAACCCCUGGGCUGCCGGACAAGGGGAUGGACCUUAGUGGGGGCGGAUGAGCAAUAGCAGUGGUCUAGGAGACCGAAUGGUAUUGUAGAUGUAGAAACAUGUUUGUCUAGGAAACUCCCCACCCCGUGCAGCAGCACCUGGCCCCAAUCCAGGCCACGCGGAGCUCUCUGCCACCAAUCAGCCUCUCUUUUGAGAUGAUGCCGCGUGGAGCUGCCAAUGCAGCCUCACAGGAGCCUGUGCAGACAGCGGGUUGUGCUAUGCUCGCUGCCGGGCUCGUUCUUCGUGCCUGCACACCUCACACAGAUUCCCCUAACCCUCAGCCUUUCAUUUACUUAGGAUCUAACUUGGUUACGGAGGCUACUGAGAAAGAAGACGGCGACCUCCACAUGGAGGCAGGCAGAAGGGACGUCUGGCGUCUUGCUCAAGGGUGGACGGGUUCUUGUUCUUCCAAGCCGGGCUGGCGUGAGAAGGCGGAUCAGUGUUUAAUCAGGAUGUAGGAUGGCCAGUUGUGGUCUGGGAUCCUGAACAAUAGCCCUGUGCUCUUGUCACACGCAUCCCCUGUGCUGCCGCAGCCUGGGAAUACGCAGCCACUCCUCGCGCCGUGGCUGCUGAAGUGACGGGUGACCCUCGCUCUUGAGCAGCUCAUUUUAUGACUCUAUAAGAAAUGCACUGUUCCUUGUGAUAUGGGAGAUCACAGUCCCGUGUCUUUUUCCGUUGGCCUGAUCUGUUUCUCUGUGUGUUGCAGGACCUGUCUGGCUCAAUAGAUGAUGUCCACACGGGGGCGGAAGGAGCCCUGAGUCCUGGAGUAAGCACGUCAGGGAUAUCCGGCAGUCAAGGAGAGCAGAGUAACCCAGCUCAGUCUCCUUUCUCUCCGUGUACGUCUCCUCACCUGCCAGGCAUCAGAGGACCCUCCCCAUCCCCAGUCGGGUCUCCUGCCAGCGCUGCUCAGUCCCAUUCGGAUCUGCUUUCACCUGCUGCAGUACCAGGAGGUUCUCCUGGGCAGCCAAACUGCAACGCAUUGUCCAACGCCAACUGUGCCAGUCCGGGAACGAGAGGAAGCCUGAACCCAACGAGAGCAGAGGAAGCGGCCACCGAUGCCAUGCACACAGCUGCAACUAAAGUGGACAAUGAGGCAGACGGGACACCAAGAGCAAAAUCCAAGUCAAAGGCCUCCUGGUUAUCCCAAAACGAACCAAGGAGGAAUGACGGCGUUGGAGCUCCUUCUGGCCAGGGAAUUAACAGUCCUGCUGGCAUGAUGAACCCCCAGGGCCUGCCCUGUGCGAUGGGUGGGAACAUGUCUAACAACUCUGCAGGAAUGGCGGCAAGCUCUGAAAUGAUAGGCCUUGGGGAGGUCGAAUUAACACCUGCAAUUAAAAUGGACAAUGAGGCAGACGGGACACCAAGAGCAAAAUCCAAGUCAAAG